RNAcentral lists this ribosomal RNA (326 nucleotides) under uncultured eukaryote. RNAcentral's name for it is "partial 18S ribosomal RNA". It matches the Rfam family "Eukaryotic small subunit ribosomal RNA", at positions 1470 to 1796 of the family's 1831-position model. The record is from RNAcentral.
CCCUUAGAUGUUCUGGGCCGCACGCGCGCUACACUGAUGCAUUCAACAAGCCUAGCCUUGACCGAGAGGGCCGGGUAAUCUUUGAAACUGCAUCGUGAUGGGGCUAGAUUAUUGCAAUUAUUAAUCUUCAACGAGGAAUGCCUAGUAAGCGUGAUUCAUCAAAUCGCGUUGAUUACGUCCCUGCCCUUUGUACACACCGCCCGUCGCUCCUACCGAUUGAAUGUGUUGGUGAGGAGCUCGGAUUGGCAGCAGUUGGUGGUUCGCCACCGGCUAUUGCUGAGAAGUCCUCCAAACCGCCCCAUUUAGAGGAAGGAGAAGUCGUAACA